UUGUAGUUGGGACAACCCCAAAAUUUUUUUCCAGCAUUUUUUUGUGUGUUGUUGCUAUUCUCAAAACAACAAAUUGUCCACAAUCACAAAUAGGAUCAAUGAAGGCACUUGUGCUCCAGUAGCAUGGAUAAAAGUACCAUGUUUUUGCAACAAUAUGAUUAUGUAAAUGAGUAGCAUGAAAAAUACCAUAAAACCUUAACAAUAACAAUAACAAUGUGAACGUCAAAAAUAACAAUAACAAUUCAUUAAUGUUCAACAUGAAAAUUAGAAAAAAAAAACAAUGACAAUAACAUAAUGAUAAAACACUUAAUGGCCUUGAUGACGUCGAAUGUCACUCAGAGUAUCCUCAAUUAUGUCCAUCCUUUGAUCAACCCUGUCAAUUCGGGUAUUCAUGUUUUGUAUGCCGGACAAAAUUUGAGUUAACAAUUCCCUUUGAGUGGGGUUUGCCGGACAUAUUUAAUUAACUAUCUACUAACUCCUUAAUAUAAUUAACUAAACUAAACUCUAAACAAAUUAUAUUACAACCAACAUUAAUUUACUAACGCCUUACCAUAAUAAACUAAAAUAAAUUCUAAACAAAUUAUAUUACAAAACCAUAAUCAUUCAAACAUAAAUAUAAAACAGAAAUUAAAAAAAAUAACUUUACAUAAAAAAUUUAAAAACCUGAAGAUAAGCACUCAAGAACAGCAAUAGGGAUGACUUAUAGGAUGAAGAACACACCUGAAAACAACAUAAAACAAAUUAAGAAACAUUUCUAUUUCACAAAUUUUACAACAUAAUCGAUUAUCGCAUCACUUAUAUACACAGGAUAAUCGAUUAUCAAUGCAUAAUCGAUUAUGUUAGUAGGCAAAAAACAACCAUAAUCGAUUAUCACAAUAAAUAAUCGAUUAAGACCCCUUUUACACACUUCAGAUAAUCGAUUAUGGGUCGAAAAUUUUACAGAUAAUCGGUUACUCGCUUAACUUAAUCGAUUAUCUACACCAUAAUCGAUUAUUUUACCUGUGCUAUUUAAGCCAUAAUCGAUUAAGCAACAAUCAAACACAUAAACUCACCUCAGAUCAACCCAGAGAUGAACCCAGAUGAAGCCAGAGAUGAACCCAGAGAUGAACACAACACUUUGAGAUGAACAACCAACCCCUACCACACACUAUGACUUACGAAUCUCUCCAACUACACACUCUAUGCUUCGCUUUCUUU
Molecule: long non-coding RNA, 1197 nt
Filed under: Phaseolus vulgaris (common bean)
Lineage: Eukaryota; Viridiplantae; Streptophyta; Magnoliopsida; Fabales; Fabaceae
Description: long non-coding RNA (PVUL_LNC004952)
Source: RNAcentral